CAAAGGUUAAGCCAUGCAUGUACACACGAAUUAAAAGUGAAACCGCAAAAGGCUCAUUAUAUCAGUUAUGGUUCCUUAGAUCGUUAACAGUUACUUGGAUAACUGUGGUAAUUCUAGAGCUAAUACAUGCAAUAUAAACACGGACCAAUGGAACGUGUGCUUUUAUUAGGCUAAAACCAAGCGACCUUUUUGGUCGUAUACUGGUUGAACUCUAGAUAACUUGCAGAUCAUAUGGUCUUGUACCGACGCCAGAUCUUGUAAAUGUCUGCCCUAUCAACUUUUGAUGGUAGUAGUUAGGACUACCAUGGUUGCAACGGGUAUCGGGGAAUUAGGGAUCGAUUCCGGAGAGGGAGCCUGAGAAACGGUUACCACAUCUAAGGAAGGCAGCAGGCGCGUAAAUUACCCACUCCCAGCUCGUGGAGGUAGUGACGAAAAAUAACAGUACAGGACUCAUAUACGAGGCCCUGUAAUCGGAAUGAGUACACUUUAAAUCCAUUAACAAGGACCUAUUGGAGGGCCUAUUGGCUGGCAAGAGGGUGCCAGCAGCCGCGGUAACUUCAACUCCAAUAGCGUAUAUUAAAGUUGUUGCGGUUAAAACGUUCGUACUUGAACUUGUGCUUCAUACGGGUAGUACAACUAUAAUUGUAGUUUGUACUAUAACUUAUAUAUGUAUAUAUGUAAGCGUAUUACCGGUGGAGUGCUUAUAAGCAAUUGUAAUACUUGUAUUCUUUGCAUAUUCCUCCUAUUUAAACCUGCUUCAAUGCUCUUCAUCGAGUGUUGUUGUGGGCCGGUACAAUUACUUUGAACAAAUUAGAGUGCUUAAAGCAGGCUCCAAACGCUUCAAUAUUUUGUGCAUGGAAUAAUGAAAUAAGACCUCUGUUCUACUUUCAUUGGUUUUUAGAUCAAGAGCUAAUGAUUAAUAGAAGCAGUUUGGGGGUAUUAGUAUUACGACGCGAGAGGUGAAAUUCUUGGACCGUCGUAACACUAACUUAAGCGAAAGCAUUUGCCAAAGAUGUUUUCAUUAAUCAAGAACGAAAGUUAGAGGUUCGAAGGCGAUCAAAUACCGCCCUAGUUCUAAGCAUAAACGAUGCCAGCUAGCAAUUGGGUGUGUAAAAAUUUAAUUUCGCUACACUAGUGAGUAGGCGCGUUUAAUUUUAUACAUUUUUACACAAGUAUUCCAACAUCGCCUGUAGAAUAUGCAUCCAAAUUUUUGUGGAUUAACCUAGUGUAGUUUAUGAGGAUUUUCGGAUCUUGUUCCUCAGAUAGCAGUUACGUAACCAAUUGUGGAACUUUCUUGCUUGCUUUCUUCUGCGGAGACGACAAAGAUCGUGG
RNAcentral lists this ribosomal RNA (1332 nucleotides) under Glossina morsitans morsitans. RNAcentral's name for it is "SSU rRNA". The stretch from base 1 to 1147 matches the Rfam family "Eukaryotic small subunit ribosomal RNA", at positions 38 to 1116 of the family's 1831-position model. The record is from RNAcentral. Lineage: Eukaryota; Metazoa; Arthropoda; Insecta; Diptera; Glossinidae.